This 204-nucleotide long non-coding RNA is filed under the name Elaeis guineensis (African oil palm). RNAcentral describes it as "long non-coding RNA (EGUI_LNC076287)". Lineage: Eukaryota; Viridiplantae; Streptophyta; Magnoliopsida; Arecales; Arecaceae. The record is from RNAcentral.
CCGCAAUCAAUUCCCUUGACCAUGGGCGGCCCACUACCAGGCGGUUACAAACAUCGCCAUCAAUCCGUUGCCUCCUCCGUCUAUAAAAGGGGGAUCCAGAUACGUUAUUCUCUAAGCUCAUUCUUCCUUAUCUCAAAACUCUGCUAAAUUCUCCGUUCGAGCACUCCAUUCUUAUUGAGGCAGAAAACUAACUUGAGCGUCGGA